This 484-nucleotide ribosomal RNA is filed under the name uncultured bacterium. RNAcentral describes it as "bacterial SSU rRNA". It matches the Rfam family "Bacterial small subunit ribosomal RNA", at positions 8 to 499 of the family's 1533-position model. The record is from RNAcentral.
AGGCUUUGAUCCUGGCUCAGGACGAACGCUGGCGGCGUGCCUAACACAUGCAAGUCGAGCGAAGCGCUGGAGAUAGCUUGCUAUUUUUAGUGACUGAGCGGCGAACGGGUGAGUAACACGUGGGUGAUCUGCCUGGUAAACUGGGAUAACAGUUCGAAAGGGCUACUAAUACCAAAUAAUAUUUUUACUGUAGAGGCGAAGAUCAAAGUGCUAUGUAGCGCUACCAGAUGAGCCCGCGUCCCAUUAGCUAGUUGGUGGGGUAAGAGCCUACCAAGGCGACGAUGGGUAGCCGGUCUGAAAAAAUAAACAACCACACUAAAACUGAGACACGGUCCAGACUCCUACGGGAGGCAGCAGUGGGGAAUUUUGCACAAUGGGGACAACCCUGACGCAGCGACACCGCGUGAGCAAAGAAGGCCUUCGGGUUGUAAAGCUCUGUUGAGGGGGAAGAUAGUGACGGUACCCUUUAAGAAAGCCCCGGCGU